UAAGGGCAAAUCUCUAAAAUAGCACAUUUCUAAGUUUAUAUCACAAAAGUAGCACUCAAAAACUAAAAUGACCAAAAUAGCACCUUUCUAAGUUUAUCCUUUGAAAAUUUUAAUUUUUUUAUUUUUCAAAAUUUGAAAUCUUAUCCCCAAAACCUCAUUUCUCAACUCUAAACACUAAACCCUAAACUCUAAACCCUAAACCAUAAACCAUAAACUCUAAACCCUAAACCCUAAACCAUGAACUCUAAACCCUAAACCCUAAACCCUAAACCCUAAACUCUAAACCCUAAACUCUAAACCCUAAACCCUAAACUCUAAACCCUAAGUUUGUGACUUUUGAUAAAACAUUAAGUGCUA
RNAcentral lists this long non-coding RNA (357 nucleotides) under Brassica napus (rape). RNAcentral's name for it is "long non-coding RNA (BNAP_LNC019686)". Lineage: Eukaryota; Viridiplantae; Streptophyta; Magnoliopsida; Brassicales; Brassicaceae. The record is from RNAcentral.